ACGCAUCCCGUGGCGGGUGACGGCGAGCCCUGCUCCGCCCCCUGUGGGGCGUGAAGCGGGCCCCGUCCCCGUCCCAACCUUCACAAACCCCACGUGCACGUUUGCGGGAGGAAGGGGGCUCUCCGCCCCCGGAAACCGCUUCACAAACCCUUGCAAACCCAGAAUGACACGAGCGACCUCUGAGUCGUGCGAAAAUUGAAA
This 201-nucleotide unclassified non-coding RNA is filed under the name uncultured fungus. RNAcentral's name for it is "sequence contains ITS1". The record is from RNAcentral. Lineage: Eukaryota; Fungi.